Calidris pugnax (ruff) is the source of this 3802-nucleotide long non-coding RNA. RefSeq lists it as uncharacterized. NCBI's taxonomy places the organism in Eukaryota, Metazoa, Chordata, Aves, Charadriiformes, Scolopacidae. The record is from RefSeq and is a predicted model, not a curated record. The transcript is spliced from 2 exons.
GUACAGCCCAGUACGGGAUCACGGGCGACGCUGAAGUCCUCUUCUCCUGCUGGUACCUUGUGUUGACACUGUCCUCCCUCACCAGCAUAUUCUACCUGAAGAACAUCAUUCUGCACUAAGUGUAAAGACCCAUAAAAGGCUUUUAAGGAUUCUCUGAAAGUGCUGAUGACUGGAUCCAAUCUGGUAGAGUUUGUUAAAAGCAGCGUGGGAUAUAAUCAGCAGUGCUUACAUGGGGAUGAUCGCCUUCUGUAGAAUUGCUCAUUAUGUAAAUACUUUAAUUCUACUCCUUUUUUUUUUUUUUUUUUGAUUAGCUGCAUUACCUUGUGAAGCAGUACACAUUGUCCUUUUUUAAGACGUGAAAGCUCUGAAAUUACUUUUAGAGGAUAUUAAUCGUGAUUUCAUGUUUGUAAUCUACAAGUUUUCAAAAGCAUUCAGUCAUGGUCUGCUGAGUUUCAGACCGUAGUUUACAAAGAAAAGAAAAAAAAAAAGAAUAUUGCAGUAAAAAUGUGCUUCUUUAAGGCUGCAAUACAAAUAUUCAGUUCCCUUCUUAAAUAGCAUUCUAUCCACAUUUACACAGAAAUAUUUUUUCUUUUUUGAUAAAAAAAAAAUCAAAUAAUAUUGCCUUCAAAAUAUUUCUUCAAAAUAUUACACAUAUCUAGAUUUUCUUCUAGCAUGAUAUUCAGGUUUCAAGAAUGAGCCUUGUAUUAUAACUGCGUUGUGCAGUACUGCUUUCUGUUUUCUUUCCUUUCUCCUGCAAAUUCAGCAUGGGUGUGCCUUCAUGAAACACUACUUUCCUCUUCCUCUCCAACAAAUCCAGAAUGUGUUUUGGGAAAUGCUAAAGCAUCCUUUUGAGCGCAAGGAAUCUCUGGUUUGAGGAGAAAGGUGCUAUUGGCUAAAAGGAAAAACCCCUCUCCCUCUUCCAGGGGGUCAUGGAACUACUUCAGACUCAGCACUUUUAGGCAAUCAGGCAAAAAUAGCACCAACUCCUUUUUAGGUUUUCCAUCCACCACCACUAACCAGUAGGCGAUCUCUCUAAAAACUGGUUUUUCCCAUUACAAAACAGAACGCAAAGUCUUUUGAGACACCUCUUGAAUGUAGGAAGGUUUCCCUGAAUCAUUCUAAAUGAAAAUCCCUAAAUGGCUGUAAAUGUGAGACGCUGAACAGUCCCUGUUGCAUCACUGGCAAAACCUAUGUGAAUUGGUAUUUUUUCUUGCACUUAAUUUUGUACUGGUUUGGCGUAUUUAGCAAUGAUAAGGGAUGCUUUUAAAUAUUAGAUACCUGAAAAUACAUGAAGUAUCAAGGAAAAUUUUAUAUAUAUACAUAUAUAUAUAUAUAAAAUACUUAUCUAUAUUAAAACAAGGUUGCUCCAAUAACUGUACUGAAGCACGUGUUGCCGUCCAUGAUAGAACCAUCUUUACUGACAGGACUUCACCCCCGAUGCACUAACUCUGCACAGCUGAGUCCUGACACACCAGUUUCCUAGUACUGCAUUUCACUCAGAGAAGGGUCAGGUUUCCAAAAUAGCAUCUAAUGUCACUAACUAAUUUUUAAUUUUUUAAAAAAAAAAACCAACAGCCCCAGAGAACAUUAACACGAAGCGUUGCUCACAGUUUACAGCUGAAAUUAAAAACUAUCAAAACUGCCAUCUGCAUAAAUUGCUGGGACGUGACUAUGGCCAACAGCCCUUGAAGGCAAGAUCUCCAGGUGACCCCAAAAGAUCUUGACUUGCUCACCAAAAAAACCCAGUUAUUAAUGACGAGAAUAAUAAAACCCCCAUCGAUGUUAUUACCUCCCUAGUUUCUAUAUGAGCAGGCGACACGAUUAUUCUGCUACAACAUUUUAGGUUUAGGAAAGGCAGCCCCCGAGUGUCGCUGGUUUCUGUAGAUGCUUUCGUGUUGCUCGGGUGUAGAGAGAAUACGAGGUGAAUCUGGUGUAGUUAUUGAUAAACUCCGACGCAGGGUAGAAACGGAAAUAUCUGUCUCCAAAACAGGGCAAUAAAAGGUCCCGGGUCCCUCUGUGUAUGUUCAGCCACAGAUUGUUCUAUGCCCAAUAUUUGCAGCCCCGUGCUGAGCAGUGACUCUUUUCGGAAAUGUGGUGUUUUUUUUUUUCAAACCUCGAAUAACGUGACAAAAAUUUGUUCUUUAAGGAAAUAGUAUGAACCCAAAUCAAACGACACUCAACACAGUCCUGAUCUCUCUUGUAUUGCAGCUUUAAAGUGCUAUAUUUUAGAAUCCGUUCGCUAGAAACAGUGGUGCUGCAGAAAGAAUCGUGUCAGUACGGUUUUGGGAAGGAAGAAAGAAAGAAGGACACGCUUAGCCCAACUCACGUGCCUCAUCUCCAGUAACACUGAGAGGUGGCUCUAUCCUGUGGCUGGAAAUUGCAGAUUUCACUGAUAUAUUUAAUUUCGGUGAUUCCUGAUAUCCAGAUCCUAGUAUUUCCAGCAACAGAACAGAAUGAACAGCAGCUUCAUGUAAUAUUUAAAAAAAAAAAGAGGUAUUGACCUGUUUGCAUUCGUACCAGGUCAAACCACUGGAGCACAGACAAGAUGCUGAAUUUCCACUUAAAUUUGGGGGGGACAGAAUUAUAGUCAAGUCAAAAAAAAAAAGAAAAAAAUGAAAAAAACAAACCCUGGGGAGGUUCCCGGGUGCCAAUGGUGUUUCCAUAGGUGGGAUGGGUGCGUGGUGUCAGUCAGAGAUGGGUGUUCAGCUGUGGGGUGUAGGGGGGUGUGUGCCCAGAUGUGUUGGGGGGUCUCCUCUCCCAGGGGCUGCUCGGGAGCCUCUACCCCCCGUCCCUCCCACAGCCAGAGUCAGGCCACCUCGGGCUUUUGCAGGAUUGGAGCUGUAGGUGGUGUCCAUCCAAUAAAGAAUCUUGGUUCUGGGUGAAUCUGUUCCGUGCAGUAAACUGGUCAUUGUACAGAUUGGGGCUUCUUGGGGCGUUUCUUCCAAAAAAAAAAAAAAAAGGGAGGCUGCGAGUUGAAGGCGGCCACAUUUUCCUAAAUGUAGCCACCCUGUAAUGCGUGGGGCACGUUGGCUGUAGGCAACUGUCUGAAGGUAUGUUCCAUGCUUCUUCAAAGCACUGACCCCCUACUGUUCAUAUCCGUCGGGCAAAUAUUAUUAUAUUUAUUCCCACCUUUCAAACGUGAAAAAUAAAUGGCUUAGCUCCAAGCAGUAUAACUGAAUAUAUUUAUAUUGAGGUUGUUGUCCCCCAUUGGAACCCCCAAAGCCUGUGAUGCCGUCAGGUCCUCCUUGUGCAAUAACUCAGGUCUGCAAUUACCGCUGCGCCGGUGUCGGACGCAGAACGAUGAUGCUCUAAUUAUACAGUUGCUGAUCCUGAUCACGCUAAUACCCAAUUAAAGGAUGUCUCACAACUUCUUGAACAAAUGCAGUUUCUCAAGGGUUUAUAAUUUGGCAGGAAACGCAUCCUUCAUAGCUAGACAGCUUUUUUUAAACUUUUCGAUAUAUGUACUUUUUUUAGAAACUAUGCUGUUUUUAAGACACGGGAGCGUUAAAAACCAUCACCAGUAAAAGCUGCUUUUUUGCACAUUUUCAGAGCUAGCGUUCUAGACAAACAAUGGUAAAUGUGAUGCCUACCAAAUCCUCCACUCGUCCACGUAACUGUGUUAUAAAGAAUGUGUAAACCAAAAUAUGUAUUUACAUGGAUAAACUAAUUGCCUUAAAGACUAAAUAUGCAUUUACUUCUAAGAUUGGAUCAGACUCGUGCCCAGUCUGGAGGUAAAUAAUCCAUAUUUCACAGUCUGCCAUGGAAGGUUUUGUUUCUUUGGAGAAAAAAAAAAAAAAAAAAA